This 409-nucleotide ribosomal RNA is filed under the name uncultured bacterium. RNAcentral's name for it is "bacterial SSU rRNA". It matches the Rfam family "Bacterial small subunit ribosomal RNA", at positions 509 to 916 of the family's 1533-position model. The record is from RNAcentral.
CAGCAGCCGCGGUAAUACAGAGGUGGCAAGCGUUGUUCGGAUUUACUGGGCGUAAAGGGUGCGUAGGUGGCAUCGUGUGUCGGACGUGAAAUACCACGGCUUAACUGUGGAAUUGCAUUCGAAACUGUGAAGCUGGAGUGCGGGAGAGGAGAGCGGAAUUCUUGGUGUAGCGGUGAAAUGCGUUGAUAUCAAGAAGAACACCGGUAGCGAAGGCGGCUCUCUGGAACGCAACUGACACUGAGGCACGAAAGCUGGGGGAGCAAACAGGAUUAGAUACCCUGGUAGUCCCAGCCCUAAACGGUGUGCAUUUGGUGUAGGAGGUAUUGACCCCUCCUGUGCCGGAGCUAACGCGUUAAAUGCACCGCCUGGGGAGUACGGCCGCAAGGUUAAAACUCAAAGGAAUUGACGG